CUUUUUAUAAGGGCAUGUUUGUUUGGCUAAAAGUGAAGCAACGAAAGUGACAUUUUUAGAAAGUGACAUCUUAUCGGUUGGUUGGUUUGUGAAAGUGAAUAUAAAAGUCACUUUAUAAAAAUGAGCUGAUAAAGUGAAUUAUAAUUAAGUCUCACUUUUUUGACUUCAGCUCAAAAAAUACGAAAGUCACCGAAAGUGAAAAGCUUAGCUAAGGGGUUAUAUUUGGUUAUAACUUUAAUCUUUGAACUUAUUUUUAAAAUUAAAUUU
This 267-nucleotide long non-coding RNA is filed under the name Ananas comosus (pineapple). RNAcentral's name for it is "long non-coding RNA (ACOM_LNC010736)". The record is from RNAcentral. Lineage: Eukaryota; Viridiplantae; Streptophyta; Magnoliopsida; Poales; Bromeliaceae.